Molecule: transfer RNA, 90 nt
Filed under: Gammaproteobacteria bacterium
Lineage: Bacteria; Pseudomonadati; Pseudomonadota; Gammaproteobacteria
Also listed under: 2 other names
Description: tRNA-Ser
Rfam family: tRNA
About the family: Transfer RNA (tRNA) molecules are approximately 80 nucleotides in length. Their secondary structure includes four short double-helical elements and three loops (D, anti-codon, and T loops). Further hydrogen bonds mediate the characteristic L-shaped molecular structure. tRNAs have two regions of fundamental functional importance: the anti-codon, which is responsible for specific mRNA codon recognition, and the 3' end, to which the tRNAs corresponding amino acid is attached (by aminoacyl-tRNA synthetases). tRNAs cope with the degeneracy of the genetic code in two manners: having more than one tRNA (with a specific anti-codon) for a particular amino acid; and 'wobble' base-pairing, i.e. permitting non-standard base-pairing at the 3rd anti-codon position.
Source: RNAcentral
GGAGAGGUGCCGGAGUGGUCGAACGGGCUUGACUCGAAAUCAAGUGAUGGCGCAAGCCAUCCGUGGGUUCGAAUCCCACCCUCUCCGCCA